Molecule: ribosomal RNA, 253 nt
Filed under: uncultured bacterium
Lineage: Bacteria
Description: partial 16S ribosomal RNA
Rfam family: Bacterial small subunit ribosomal RNA
Source: RNAcentral
UACAGAGGGGGCAAGCGUUGUUCGGAAUUACUGGGCGUAAAGGGCGCGUAGGCGGCCUGCUAAGUCGGACGUGAAAUCCCUCGGCUUAACCGGGGAACUGCGUCCGAUACUGGAUGGCUUGAGAUUGGGAGAGGGAUGCGGAAUUCCAGGUGUAGCGGUGAAAUGCGUAGAUAUCUGGAGGAACACCGGUGGCGAAGGCGGCAUCCUGGACCAACACUGACGCUGAUGAGCGAAAGCCAGGGGAGCAAACGGG